UACGAAGGUCCCAAGCGUUGUUCGGAAUCACUGGGCGUAAAGCGUGCGCAGGCGGUCUUGAAAGUUAGAAGUGAAAGCCCAGGGCUUAACCCUGGAAUUGCUUUUAAAACUCCAAGACUAGAGUACUGGAGAGGUUAGCGGGAUUCCGAGUGUAGAGGUGAAAUUCGCAGAUAUUCGGAGGUACACCAAUGGCGUAGGCAGCUAACUGGACAGUAACUGACGCUCAGGCACGAAAGCGUGGGGAUCAAACAGG
This 253-nucleotide ribosomal RNA is filed under the name uncultured bacterium. RNAcentral describes it as "partial 16S ribosomal RNA". It matches the Rfam family "Bacterial small subunit ribosomal RNA", at positions 524 to 776 of the family's 1533-position model. The record is from RNAcentral.